UGGGGAAUAUUGCACAAUGGGCGAAAGCCUGAUGCAGCAACGCCGCGUGCGGGAAGAAGGCCUUAGGGUUGUAAACCGCUUUCAGCAGGGAAGAAACUGACGGUACCUGCAGAAGAAGGUGCGGCCAACUACGUGCCAGCAGCCGCGGUGACACGUAGGCACCAAGCGUUGUCCGGAUUUAUUGGGCGUAAAGAGCUCGUAGGCGGUUCAGUAAGUCGGGUGUGAAAACUCUGGGCUCAACCCAGAGACGCCACCCGAUACUGCUGUGACUUGAGUACGGUAGGGGAGUGGGGAAUUCCUGGUGUAGCGGUGAAAUGCGCAGAUAUCAGGAGGAACACCAGUGGCGAAGGCGCCACUCUGGGCCGUAACUGACGCUGAGGAGCGAAAGCGUGGGUAGCAAACAGGAUUAGAUACCCUGGUAGUCCACGCCGUAAACGUUGGGCACUAGGUGUGGGUCUCAACCAACGAGAUCCGCGCCGUCGCUAACGCAUUAAGUGCCCC
Molecule: ribosomal RNA, 501 nt
Filed under: uncultured Actinomycetes bacterium
Lineage: Bacteria; Bacillati; Actinomycetota; Actinomycetes
Description: bacterial SSU rRNA
Rfam family: Bacterial small subunit ribosomal RNA
Source: RNAcentral